Molecule: ribosomal RNA, 441 nt
Filed under: uncultured bacterium
Lineage: Bacteria
Description: partial 16S ribosomal RNA
Rfam family: Bacterial small subunit ribosomal RNA
Source: RNAcentral
CCUACGGGGUGCAGCAGUGGGGGAUAUUGCACAAUGGGGGAAACCCUGAUGCAGCGACGCCGCGUGGGUGAAGAAGUAUUUCGGUAUGUAAAGCCCUAUCAGCAGGGAAGAAAGAAGACGGUACCUGACUAAGAAGCCCCGGCUAACUACGUGCCAGCAGCCGCGGUAAUACGUAGGGGGCGAGCGUUAUCCGGAUUCACUGGGUGUAAAGGGAGUGUAGACGGCCGUGCAAGCCAGGAGUGAAAGCCCGGGGCCCAACCCCGGGACUGCUCUUGGAACUGUGCGGCUGGAGUGCGGGAGGGGCAGGCGGAAUUCCUGGUGUAGCGGUGAAAUGCGUAGAUAUCAGGAGGAACACCGGCGGCGAAGGCGGCCUGCUGGACCGCGACUGACGUUGAGGCUCGAAAGCGUGGGGAGCGAACAGGAUUAGAUACCCGGGUAGUC